AGGGAAUCUUCCACAAUGGACGCAAGUCUGAUGGAGCAACGCCGCGUGAGUGAAGAAGGUUUUCGGACCGUAAAGCUCUGUUGUUGGUGAAGAAGGAUAGAGGUAGUAACUGGCCUUUUAUUUGACGGUAAUCAACCAGAAAGUCACGGCUAACUACGUGCCAGCAGCCGCGGUAAUACGUAGGUGGCAAGCGUUGUCCGGAUUUAUUGGGCGUAAAGCGAGCGCAGGCGGAAGAAUAAGUCUGAUGUGAAAGCCCUCGGCUUAACCGAGGAAUUGCAUCGGAAACUGUUUUCUUGAGUGCAGAAGAGGAGAGUAGAACUCCAUGUGUAGCGGUGGAAUGCGUAGAUAUAUGGAAGAAUACCAGUGGCGAAGGCGGCUCUCUGGUCUGCAACUGACGCUGAGGCUCGAAAGCAUGGGUAGCGAACAGGAUUAGAUACCCUGGUAGUCCAUGCCGUAAACGAUGAGUGCUAAGUGUUGGGAGGCUUCCGCCUCUCAGUGCUGCAGCUAACGCAUUAAGCACUCCGCCUGGGGGAGUACGACCGCAAGGUUGAAAC
Molecule: ribosomal RNA, 554 nt
Filed under: uncultured bacterium
Lineage: Bacteria
Description: partial 16S ribosomal RNA
Rfam family: Bacterial small subunit ribosomal RNA
Source: RNAcentral